UGACAGUUUACACAUGCCACGGCAAUACCCA
RNAcentral lists this non-coding RNA (31 nucleotides) under Homo sapiens (human). The record is from RNAcentral. Lineage: Eukaryota; Metazoa; Chordata; Mammalia; Primates; Hominidae.